Molecule: long non-coding RNA, 546 nt
Filed under: Pogona vitticeps (central bearded dragon)
Lineage: Eukaryota; Metazoa; Chordata; Lepidosauria; Squamata; Agamidae
Description: lncRNA (ENSPVIG00000014289.1)
Source: RNAcentral
AUGCAGAGGUGCUUUUUCCCUUGCUCUGGACUUUGUGGCAGGAAAACGACUUCAGCAGCUUUACAAGAGGAGAGAGAUCAGCUCCACAAAAAUUAUUUUAGACCUAUGCCAGCAGCUGCGGCGCUUUUGCAGAGUAUCCCGGUGACUGAGAUAGAAGACAAGACCCUGCAUCUUCUUCUGACUGGUAAAGAAUGUCAACGGUGGUGGUGGUGGUGGUCAGGACCUGGUUGGUCACCUGCACUCUCUCCUGGCUGCAAGACCAUGCGGGUGGGUGUAAGAAAGAGAAAGAGGGCGAAGAGGACCCAUGGUUGUCAUGGAGGUCAUGAAGUCUUGACCCAGCCCGCACAAAGUUGCUUCAGUUCCCUAGCAGAGGAAGGGUUAGCAGAGGGGGGGGGAGAAGCUACCUUCUCCACAGGUGGAUGUGUUCCUGGUCAGAAGAUGCCUGAGAUUCCGCCGGGUGUACUGAGCCCUUCCGAGCCUCCUUUGCCUCUUCCAAAUCCCAGAACGCUCAGAGCCAGCAUGGCCAUCCCAUCCGGACAAAGGUAG